This 234-nucleotide ribosomal RNA is filed under the name uncultured bacterium. RNAcentral describes it as "partial 16S ribosomal RNA". It matches the Rfam family "Bacterial small subunit ribosomal RNA", at positions 118 to 353 of the family's 1533-position model. The record is from RNAcentral.
UGAGCAAUCUGCCCUUCUCUUUGGAAUAAGCGUUGGAAACGACGUCUAAUGCCGAAUACGACCUCCUUUCGCAUGAUCGGAGGUGGAAAGCUCCGGCGGAGAAGGAUGAGCUCGCGGCCUAUCAGCUAGUUGGUGUGGGUAACGGCCCACCAAGGCGACGACGGGUAGCCGGCCUGAGAGGGUGACUGGCCACACUGGACUGAGACACGGCCCAGACUCCUACGGGAGGNAGCG